GGAAAGAUUAGCAUAUUAAAUUUAUAAGGGAUUUUAGGUCAAUCCACACAAGGGAUGACAACCAUAUAAUUGAUAACACAAAUGCCAAAUCCAAACUCACUGGGGCAUCUAAAAAAAUUUAGACCGCAUCCAGAACUCCAAACUCUCUGAGGAUUUGGUGGGAUGUACAACUUUCUUCGGUGCUCGCGGGGGAGACAAUCCUGAAAAAUA
Molecule: long non-coding RNA, 210 nt
Filed under: Lathyrus oleraceus (garden pea)
Lineage: Eukaryota; Viridiplantae; Streptophyta; Magnoliopsida; Fabales; Fabaceae
Description: Pisum sativum (pea) long non-coding RNA (PSAT_LNC030230)
Source: RNAcentral